UCUUUUUCCUGUAAGAUCUUAGCACUUGAAAAAACAGUGGCUUGCUUCAAUGGUAUUUUUAUUAAGAGCCAUUGGGAUUUUUUUAUUUCAUCAUGUAACUGUAUCUAUCUUAUAAUAAUAUGUACAUUUUUACUAAGGAGUUGUGAGAGGAGUGCUGAAUUAAUAAAACUACUUUUCUCUUUUAGGGUGGAUUCCUUUUGUAUUUUCAUAAGCACAGGGUUUUGCUUCACAUCCCUGCUCCACCGUCUGACAGAAGAAGGAUUUGAACAUACAUCUCUGACAUUCAAGAAGGGUGUCAGUAUGUCUCCAUCUUCAAACAAGCUGGAAACAUGGGACAUUUGUCACAGAUUUUUCCUUUGAAGUCAAUACUAAAUUGAGGCCUGUCUGCAAUGUUCAAUCUGUAUUCCAAAGGAAAGAGCUCUUACAGAACUAUCUAGAGAAACAGGUCUUUUGCUGAAAUGUUCUCUGUUCGUCUCUUGCUGCAUCAGGACCAAGGUGGCAAUGUUUGCUGCUAUAAAACCAGUGAGAAUCAUCCACUUAUUUAAAUGUACUAGUUUCAGUCUUACCCAUGCUUUAUACCAGUGUACAAAAAAGGGGAUUUGUAUUCUUCAGUAUUUCAAUAUUAAUGAAAAAAAGUAAAAAAUUACUUACUUCAGUAAUUCUCAAAGAGUUUCCAUGUCAGUGUGAGAAAACUUAGGGGACUGAAUGUAGUUAAUCUUAGCUAAAAUCUCAACACUAUGUUUUAAUAAAGAUUCCCAAGUAAUUGUGACUUCAAGUCACUGCUCACGAUGGAUAACAUUUCCAGAGAAACAGGAAUGGUGCUGCAUCGGUGUUUUUGAUUUAGCCAGACUCCUUUGAUGGGAGAGAAGCAAGGGAGAGAGAAGAUGAAAUAAACCUUUAGACUCUGAAUUCUCUUGCCACACUGGUCGUAUGAGUCACUACAGAGAGAAUUUAUCCUGUUCUUCUGACAGUGUAAAGAUUUUACUAGUUUUAUUGUAAUUGUUCGUGCAACAUACACAAGUUUCUUUCUCUUUUUUUUUUUUCCUUUUUGUUUUUUAAUGUGAAGGGACUAUGCCAUAAGCACAAGAAAAGUCUGUAACAGCCACGAGAUUUUCCUUUUCUCUCAGAAAAAUGCAUUAAACAGGAUUAGGGAAUCUUAAAAUAAUUUAAAAGGCUUCUUUCUAACUCAAGAAAAUGUUAUAUGAAACAUGCUUCCUUGAAAAGUAGGCUUUAUGUAGACGUUUAACUUUAGACUUUAAAUUUAGACCUGUAUAGUCACACAUAUUAAUACAAGAAUCUAUGCAAUGACAGUUCAGAGGUGUGCUUGAAUGCAUUCAUUGCUGAUAUGCUGGAUUUAUGGCAACUGGACCAGAGGUCUGUGAAAAUUUGCUUGUCAUUCCCAACAGGAUUGAAAUGCUUCUGCUGUUCAGUAGUCUUGUAUGCUUGUCACCAUUAAUGUUCCCUCUAAUUUAUUUCUCUGUGUGUGACAAAUGACCUCCUGAAUACCAAUGUGAAACUUGUAGCCCUAAUUCACAUGAUGCUGGAAAUGGAACAGCAAAAUAAAUGAGUUUGCAAUCCUCUUU
Molecule: long non-coding RNA, 1583 nt
Organism: Corvus moneduloides (New Caledonian crow)
Lineage: Eukaryota; Metazoa; Chordata; Aves; Passeriformes; Corvidae
Source: Ensembl